AGUUGAACUAACGAGGUCGGAUCGCAGAGACAGCUAGGAUGUUGGCUUGGAAGCAGCCAUUCAUUUAAAGAGUGCGUAACAGCUCACUAGUCGAGCGAUCUGGCGUGGAUAAUAAUCGGGCAUAAACGAUCUGCCGAAGCCGUGGAUGUCGUAAGACAUGGUAGGGGAGCAUUCCAUGCGGCGUCGAAGAUGAGGGAUGACCCUUGUUGGAGCGCAUGGAAAAGCAAAUGUAGGUAUGAGUAACGAUAAGGGGGGCGAGAAACCCCCCCGCCGAAAGACCAAGGUUUCCUGAUCAACGCUAAUCGGAUCAGGGUGAGUCGGGACCUAAGGCAAAGCCGAACGGCGACGCCGAUGGAAGAAUGGGUUAAUAUUCCCAUACUGCCUCAUGGAGUGACGUGGAGACGGAGAAGUGACAGUCCUGCCGGCUGACGGAAUAGCCGGUUGAAGGGUGUAGAUAUUGAUUCCCGUAGGCAAAUCCGCGGGGAGAGUCGAACCUGAGAGUAUACGGAGCGCUUGCGCAACGUAAUAUGGACGUAACCAUGCUCCCAAGAAAAUCCGCUAAACUUAUCCAUGCGGCACCCGUACCGUAAACGGACACACGUGGUCGGGUUGAGAAUACUGAGGCGCUCGAGUGACUCACGGUUAAGGAACUAGGCAAAUUGACCCUGUAACUUCGGGAUAAAGGGUCCUCGUCGUAAGGCGAGGCGCAGAGAAUAGGUCCAGGCAACUGUUUAACAAAAACACAUGGCU
RNAcentral lists this ribosomal RNA (750 nucleotides) under Parabacteroides distasonis. RNAcentral describes it as "partial 23S ribosomal RNA". It matches the Rfam family "Bacterial large subunit ribosomal RNA", at positions 1062 to 1822 of the family's 2925-position model. The record is from RNAcentral. Lineage: Bacteria; Pseudomonadati; Bacteroidota; Bacteroidia; Bacteroidales; Tannerellaceae.